AAUGAACGCUGGCGGCGUGCUUUACACAUGCAAGUUGAGCGAGGCGGCCCGCAAGGGCCAGUCGAGCGGCGAACGGGUGAGUAACGCGUGGAUAUCUACCCUGAGGUGGGAACAACCAGGGAACUCUGGCUAAUACCGCAUGAUACCGAGAGGUCAAAGGGGCGUCNCAAGAGCUCCCGCCACAGGAGGAGUCCGCCGUCCGAC
RNAcentral lists this ribosomal RNA (204 nucleotides) under uncultured bacterium. RNAcentral describes it as "partial 16S ribosomal RNA". It matches the Rfam family "Bacterial small subunit ribosomal RNA", at positions 29 to 241 of the family's 1533-position model. The record is from RNAcentral.